ACGGCGGCCGAAAUCGGACUUUCGACGACACCGGCGGACUUGGACCGGGCCUUGACCUUGGCCCAACAAAUCUCAGCCCAAUUGAGAUUUGUUCUUGCUCUGAAAUGGGCUUGCUCUUGGGUUUAGGUCUGCUCAAACUGGACUGAACCAAAUGGGCUUUGCUGAACUGAUGGGUUCAUGAGAUUUGCUGGCCCAAAGAAGCUGUUCACUUGGGCUUCAAAUUGAGGGCUGAACUUGGGCCUCAAUUCUACAGGCUUGAAGACUGAAACUCACGGGCUGAGCUGGGCUGCUGGAUUGCGUGGGCUUGCUGAAGGAUCGGUGGACUGGGCUUCGCUGGCGUACGGCUUCAACUGAUGCUGCGAAGAUCUUGGCUUCUCUGGAUGGCGUGGCUGGAGACGCACGAAGAAACUGCUUCGGGAUUUCCGUGAGUGGAGGCCUCACGGUCAACACCAGCUUCGCUGGUUGACUGAAC
RNAcentral lists this long non-coding RNA (472 nucleotides) under Eucalyptus grandis. RNAcentral describes it as "long non-coding RNA (EGRA_LNC001943)". The record is from RNAcentral. Lineage: Eukaryota; Viridiplantae; Streptophyta; Magnoliopsida; Myrtales; Myrtaceae.